This 253-nucleotide ribosomal RNA is filed under the name uncultured bacterium. RNAcentral describes it as "partial 16S ribosomal RNA". It matches the Rfam family "Bacterial small subunit ribosomal RNA", at positions 524 to 776 of the family's 1533-position model. The record is from RNAcentral.
UACGUAAGUGGCGAGCGUUAUCCGGAAUUACUGGGCGUAAAGCGUUCGUAGGCGGCGUGGUAAGUUGGGUUUGAAAGCCCGGGGCUCAACUCCGGACCCGGAUCCAAAACUACCAUGCUUGAGCGUAUCAGGGGGCAGCGGAAUUCCCGGUGUAGCGGUAAUAUGCGUAGAUAUCGGGAGGAACACCAGUGGCGAAGGCGGCUGCCUGGGGUAUUGCUGACGCUGAGGAACGAAGGCCAGGGGAGCGAACGGG